AUGAUGGAUACGUCAAUGGAUUUCACAACUGAAGACCAAGUUUAUUGGUCAGGCAAUAGGGAAGAGGCUUCAAGAGACUCUUACCUUGAAACAAUAGAAGAGCUUGAGGAAUUUUUACAGAAACUCGAUGAGAUAUAUGGGACAAGAAGUCCAGCUGCACCUGAGCCAAAACCCUGUGUACCUCCGACUGCCCAUGAAGAGGACAGCCAAAAGGAAUCCAUGCAGAAUGAGGAUCCUACAACUGAAGAUCUAGUUCAGGUAUCAGGCAACAGCAAAGAGGUGUCGAGGUACUCCUAUCUUCAGACGGUUGAGGAAAUUAAGGCAUUUCUACAGGAAGCCAAUGAGACACAUAAGGCAAGGACCCCAGCUGCCCCAGAGCCUCUGACUGCCCGUGAGGAAGAUGACCAAAAGGAGUCCAUGCAGAGACAGAAACCCACAACUGAAGAUCUAGUUCAGUUAUCAGGCACCAGCAAAGAGGCUUCCACAACUUCUUUCUUUGUGACACUUGAGGACAUUGAGGAGUUUCUUCACGAGAUCAAUGAAAUACACGAGGCAAAAACCCCACCUGCACCAGAGUCGGAGCUCUGCGUACCUCUGACUGCCCAUGAUGACGUCAGCCAAAUGGAGUCCGUGAACAGCCAGGUGACCUCCUUUGAUGAGAGAAACCCAACAGGAACAUCCCAGUUAAUGGAUGUCACUGACACCCCAACGACAUUUAUCACUGUUUGUCAAGUAACAGUUGUUAAUGCAAACAAGAGGACAAUCUUCAAUGAGGGUAGCGAGGUAGGGACCCUCAGUGAUGACCAGAGCCUCUGUGGAGGCCAGAUGACCAUCAGUGGGGAUCAGGCCCUCUAUGGGGCUCAGAUGAAGAGCCCCACUGUAUGCCAGAAUCUCAGUCUUGAACUGAAAGAGUCUCCCUGCUAA
This 924-nucleotide long non-coding RNA is filed under the name Capra hircus (goat). Its description in RNAcentral is "lncRNA (ENSCHIG00010018937.1)". The record is from RNAcentral. Lineage: Eukaryota; Metazoa; Chordata; Mammalia; Artiodactyla; Bovidae.